RNAcentral lists this unclassified non-coding RNA (295 nucleotides) under Hevea brasiliensis (rubber tree). The record is from RNAcentral. Lineage: Eukaryota; Viridiplantae; Streptophyta; Magnoliopsida; Malpighiales; Euphorbiaceae.
CUGUAAAUGUCCCGUGCCAUCCUAUAAUUAGACCAUAGUUCAAAUAUGGUGAUCCUGUAAUUAAAUCAUAGUACUAAUAAGCAGAGGAAACUGAACAGUAAGUGAAGAAGAAAAGCACAUGUUAGAAACCACUAAACUGCGCAGAUUAUCAAGAAAGAAAAUCAAUCCCUUGGAAAAUUAUCCAGAUGGUUCUGUAAAUGUCCUGGGCCAUCCUAUAAUUAGAUCAUAGUACAAAUAAGCUGAUCUUAUAAUUAAAUCAUAGUAGCUGAUUGCAAAUUACAUCAGUAAACUUACC